RNAcentral lists this ribosomal RNA (301 nucleotides) under uncultured bacterium. RNAcentral's name for it is "partial 16S ribosomal RNA". It matches the Rfam family "Bacterial small subunit ribosomal RNA", at positions 509 to 809 of the family's 1533-position model. The record is from RNAcentral.
CAGUCGCCGCGGUAAUACGAAGGGGGCUAGCGUUGCUCGGAAUCACUGGGCGUAAAGGGUGCGUAGGCGGGUUUUUAAGUCAGGGGUGAAAUCCUGGAGCUCAACUCCAGAACUGCCCUUGAUACUGGGAAUCUUGAGUAUGGGAGAGGUGAGUGAAACUGCGAGUGUAGAGGUGAAAUUCGUAGAUAUUCGCAAGAACACCACUGGCGAAGGCGGCUCACUGAACCGAUACUGACGCUGAGGCGCGAAAGCGUGGGGAGCAAACAGGAUUAGAUACCCCCGUAGUCCCUGUCUCUUAUAA